CCUACGGGAGGCAGCAGUGGGGAAUAUUGCACAAUGGGGGAAACCCUGAUGCAGCGACGCCGCGUGAAGGAAGAAGUAUUUCGGUAUGUAAACUUCUAUCAGCAGGGAAGAGUAGAAGACGGUACCUGUCGAAUAAGCCACGGCUAACUACGUGCCAGCAGCCGCGGUAAUACGUAGGUGGCAAGCGUUGUCCGGAUUUACUGGGUGUAAAGGGCGUGUAGCCGGGUUGACAAGUCAGAUGUGAAAUCCUGCGGCUUAACCGCAGAACUGCAUUUGAAACUGUUGAUCUUGAGUACUGGAGAGGC
RNAcentral lists this ribosomal RNA (305 nucleotides) under uncultured bacterium. RNAcentral describes it as "bacterial SSU rRNA". It matches the Rfam family "Bacterial small subunit ribosomal RNA", at positions 338 to 658 of the family's 1533-position model. The record is from RNAcentral.